CUUGAUUUCAGUUUCAGUCUUCAGAAACAGGCUGCCUAUUUUUGGUUGCAUUCCAGACCCUAUAGCUACAUUCAGUGAUUUACUUCCCCAUUUACGUCAUUCUCCUAACCUCCUCUCCCCCGAGGUUCUCCCAUGACCGAGGACAAUUUUAAGCUACUACGUUGUCCUGCUACAGUGAUCUGAGACCGAUAAUAGCGUUUCCAAUAUAAUGAGACAUCUCGAAUAUAAUUUUGCUGUUCAUCAAUGUAUCUUUUACAGCAGAUGGGCCAUUGUGCAAUAUAAUUAACCAAGACAUAUUGAGAAACACAAGUAUUACUCUCUUACCUGGAGAGCUAGAUGGAACUGCAGGAGAUCGUUUGCAUGUAACGGAAUCUAAUGGACUCCAGCUGUCAUCUCUCGUGAACUCGGAUUCUCACGACAAUUCCUGAAGCUUAUUGCUUUAAAAGGAGAAAAUCCAAAACUUUCCCUGAAACUUCUCAGUUUUUAUGGACACCGUCCCAUGGGGAAGAAAAGAAAUCAUCUGGUUUGGUGGCUUACGAGAAACACUGUAUGAGUAAUAUUUUUAGUCCCGCCUUCAGAGAAGGUCACAUCUCUCGGUCUGAAGGUAGCAGUAUGUAACCAGUAGACACACACUGGCCACUUUUGCUAGGAGAAGAUAGUGUUGCAGCCAGGAAUUGCCACCAUUUCUCCGCCAGUCUCGUCACUACCUUACCUGGAGGUGUUCUGAGGGCUCACGAUGAAGACAAUCUUUGACUUAGACAUCUUAAAAUAUGCGGCUAGAAGGUUUAUCAUAUCCAGGAAACGUCAUGAGAGUAGUUAUUACAGGAACUACUGGCCCUCUGGGAAAUCACAGGAUUUCUUGGAUUCAAGUUUUGAGCAUGAGCCAGAAGCAGAUGC
RNAcentral lists this long non-coding RNA (897 nucleotides) under Equus caballus (horse). Its description in RNAcentral is "lncRNA (ENSECAG00000043875.1)". Lineage: Eukaryota; Metazoa; Chordata; Mammalia; Perissodactyla; Equidae. The record is from RNAcentral.